Molecule: ribosomal RNA, 494 nt
Filed under: uncultured bacterium
Lineage: Bacteria
Description: partial 16S ribosomal RNA
Rfam family: Bacterial small subunit ribosomal RNA
Source: RNAcentral
GACGAACGCUGGCGGCGUGCUUAACACAUGCAAGUCGAACGGUGAAGCGCCUUCCUUUUUGGUGGGUGUGGAUGAGUGGCGAACGGGUGAGUAACACGUGAGUAACCUGCCCCCUUCUUCUGGAUAACCGCAUGAAAGUGUGGCUAAUACGGGAUAUUCUGGGUCUGUCGCAUGAUGGGUCUGGGAAAGAUCUUGUUUCGGUGGGGGAUGGGCUCGCGGCCUAUCAGCUUGUUGGUGGGGUGAUGGCCUACCAAGGCGGUGACGGGUAGCCGGCCUGGGGGGGUGGACGGUCAGACUGGGAAGGAGACACGGCAAAGACUCAUACGGGAGGCAGCAGGGGGGAAUAUGGGACGAUGGGCGGAAGAAUGAUGCAGCGACGCCGAGUGAGGGAUGGAGGCCUUCGGGUUGUGAACCUCUUUCGCCAGUGAAGCAGGGCUGCCUCGUUUGUGGGUGGGUUGACGGUAGCUGGAGAAGAAGCGCCGGCUAACUACGUG